GUCACCACGAGCGCGAGAAGUCGAAGGUAGGAGCAGAAAGCGGUGUUAGUGUUAGUUCUGGCCCGUUUGGACCCAAACUAAAGUGUAUCAGUAUGAAGCAGGCGGUGACGGCGCACUGAUUCACUCUCGGAGCUCGGUUCACUAAUGACCGAAUCACCGAGGAACCGACCAAAGAUAACUCACACCCGCACGAAGAAGAACAAGAGGAGGAGAAGAUGAGCUGGAGUGGGGCAAAGAGAACUGCAUUCAGAUCAAACGGAUACAAGAGAGGUGGCCGAGUUGUUUGAGGAUCUAAAGAAUUGAGUGUCACAAUUCAACAUGCACAUCAGCGAAACUUUUCCCUCUGACUACACCAGCACGCACGCACAGAAAUUCAUAGUGCAGGUGGUGAUUGCAGGCGCAUUUUAUCCGAACUGCUUCCUCCAGGGAGCUGUGGACGAGGAGCUCGCCUCCAAGGAACUCUAUGGAAACGACCCCAGGACCACCAUAGUGGUGUGUAAUCUCCCUCCAUUUGCAUUCCUCUACUAUAAACAGCUCCAGUCUCUCUUCAGACACUGUGGUUAAAUCAAAUCCAUCUCCUUUGACAGCUCCAGGGCCUAUGUAGAGUUCUACCGCUCGUCAAUGAGAGGUUCUGGCGUUCUCCCAGAGGUCUCUCUGUCUCUCCUCCUCACGCAGCAGAGACUUCCUCUCCAUGUCAACGUUUAACCUGCUGGAGAGGUGGAGACUUGGGCAGGGGGGUAGUGUAUCUCACACCUCAGAUAUACACGGGUGAAUGUGGAUUUUCAGAAUCAGUCAGUGAGCCCUGUCGGGGUUCUGAGCAGCUCCAUUGAGUUGGAGAAUCUUCCGUCUAACCCUGUCUUUAUCGUCAAUAUCACUGAGGUGUCUGUUCCGCCUCUUUCACUUUCAGUGCACAAAUAAAAAAGAAGCAGUGUGUGUGUGCGUGCGUGUGUGUGCGUGCGUGUGUGUGCGUGCGUGUGUGUGUGUGUGUGUGUGUGUGUGUGCACUAACAGGAGGUCCAGGUGCAGCCUUUGGAUAUUGAUGAAGAUUUACUGCCCCUGCAAGACCUUCCUCAACUGCGUAGUCUGGAGCAAAGGAUGCAACAGAGCCCAGAUUACAAGCAAAAUCUGGUAAACUGGUUGGCGCUUAUUGACGGGGUGUAUGUGCGUGACUGCACCUGGCGCAUAUUGAAGAGGGUGAUUGCUAACUCCCUGGAAAAGAAUGUCAAUUGGAGGGGAGUCAAUGGAAAGACUUCACUGUCCGCUCUCCAACUCGGAGAGGUCGUGAUUGGUUGUUUCGUCCUGAUGGCCUGCACCCCAGCAGCCACGGAGCGGAACUGCUGUCUGACAACAUCUCCAAGACGCUACACUCCAAGUGACUGUCUACCCUGUUUACAGAGUCCACACAAGUCAUGCUUUAAGUACCUGGACAUGCCCGGGUUGAGGCUGGCCACCAGUGCACCGAUGGAUCUCUUUCCUGCGGCACUGUCGUGGUAGCAGUCGAUACCAACAUCAUCAGUUACUUGAAAAACUCCCAGUGCUUGAAGAACAGAACCGUACCGGGAUC
Long non-coding RNA from Ictalurus punctatus (channel catfish), 1563 nucleotides. RefSeq lists it as uncharacterized. The record is from RefSeq and is a predicted model, not a curated record. The transcript has 12 exons. NCBI's taxonomy places the organism in Eukaryota, Metazoa, Chordata, Actinopteri, Siluriformes, Ictaluridae.